AGCAGUAGCCACGGUAACACGGAGGGUGCAAGCGUUAAUCGGAAUUACUGGGCGUAAAGCGCACGCAGGCGGUUUGUUAAGUCAGAUGUGAAAUCCCCGGGCUCAACCUGGGAACUGCAUUUGAAACUGGCAAGCUAGAGUCUCGUAGAGGGGGGUAGAAUUCCAGGUGUAGCGGUGAAAUGCGUAGAGAUCUGGAGGAAUACCGGUGGCGAAGGCGGCCCCCUGGACGAAGACUGACGCUCAGGUGCGAAAGCGUGGGGAGCAAACAGGAUUAGAUACCCCUGUAGUCCCUGUCUCUUAUAC
This 303-nucleotide ribosomal RNA is filed under the name uncultured bacterium. RNAcentral describes it as "partial 16S ribosomal RNA". It matches the Rfam family "Bacterial small subunit ribosomal RNA", at positions 507 to 807 of the family's 1533-position model. The record is from RNAcentral.